CCUUCGCCACGCCCGCUCAAGAAACUUAAAGGAAGUUGACGGACCCCGCACAAGCGGUGGAUCAUGUUGUUUAAUUCGAUGAUACGCGAAGAACCUUACCAGGUCUUGACAUCCCCCGCGAUGCUUUAGAGAUAAAGCGGAGGUAUUCGGGGAGACAGGUGGUGCAUGGUUGUCGUCAGCUCGUGUCGUGAGAUGUUGGGUUAAGUCCCGCAACGAGCGCAACCCCUAUUGCUAGUUACCAUCAUUAAGUUGGGGACUCUAGCGAGACUGCCAGUGAUAAACUGGAGGAAGGUGGGGAUGACGUCAAAUCAUCAUGCCCCUUAUGACCUGGGCUACAAACGUGAUACAAUGGCUGGAACAAAGGGAUGCGAAGCAGUGAUGUGGAGCGAAACCCAUAAAAACAGUCUCAGUUCGGAUCGAAGUCUGCAACUCGACUUCAUGAAGUCGGAAUCGCUAGUAAUCGCGGAUCAGAACGCCGCGGUGAAUACGUUCUCGGGGUUU
This 501-nucleotide ribosomal RNA is filed under the name uncultured Acholeplasma sp. Its description in RNAcentral is "bacterial SSU rRNA". It matches the Rfam family "Bacterial small subunit ribosomal RNA", at positions 903 to 1382 of the family's 1533-position model. Lineage: Bacteria; Bacillati; Mycoplasmatota; Mollicutes; Acholeplasmatales; Acholeplasmataceae. The record is from RNAcentral.